AUGCCGCUGGAAUUCGCGGGCUCGCAGAUCACAGGGGCCCGGGCGCGCCAGGCCUGGCGCUCCCGAAUCGAUGAGGAAAGCCGCUCUCCCCGGCAGAUCUUCCCGGCCGGGGCGCCUCCAUCACCCUGCCUGCGCCUCGGCACGCUGGCAAGGAGCCCGGGAAGAGACGCCGGGAGCGGUGGGUGGGCGAGGAACAAAUCCAAUGUGACUACAUUUUUCUUUGUCGCAACUACCACGACCUGGCCAUCCCCCACCUUGGUGACUUGGUGCCUUCCCAGCGACCUGCUUAUUUCACGCCAGCUGACUGGCGUUCACUGCAGUGUGAGUGUCGGCCGGAGGAGGGGUCCACGCGAAGGAGCCCACAAGAGCCGGGCUCUCGGGCCCCGAUGGCCGGAGCGGGCAUCCCGGGCGCCGAUGGCCGCAGGGCGCCGCAGCCGCGUCCGCACUCCCCUCCGCCCCGUUCCAUCGCGUGCGCCCUACCGCGUCUGCGGGCGUGUGGUGAGGGGCCGGCGGGCCCGCUCGGAGGAGAAGACUCCACUCGCCCGCACCACCAGCAGCUCGGCACCCCCUUGCCGGCUGCUGGCCCUACUCUCCGGCAGCGGGGCGCCGGGCUCCGCGACCCCUUCGGGCGCUUCCGCCGUGCGCUCGGCUCCUUUCGUGUCCAGGGUGGGGCGGGGCGGGGUGGGGCGGGGCCGGCGCCCGGGGUCGGGUGCGCGCGGCGCGGGCGGGCGCCCUCCCAGUGCGCGCGCGCCGUGCAAGGCCCGCGACGCCCGCCCCUCCCCCAGGCCCCCGCACCCGCGCCGCCCCCUCCCCUCCUGGCGAGAGUCGGCGGUGGCGGCGGCGGCUGCAGAGAUUGGAAUCCGCCUGCCGGGCUUGGCGAAGGAGGAGGGAGGAGGCAGGAGCGAGGAGGGAGGAGGGCUAAGGGCGGGCAGGAAGGCUAGGGUUCGGCGCGUCCGUCCGCGCGCGGCGAAGAUCGCACGGCCCAAUCGAGGGGCGACCGGGUCGGGGCCGCUGCACGCCUAG
Molecule: long non-coding RNA, 1023 nt
Filed under: Papio anubis (olive baboon)
Lineage: Eukaryota; Metazoa; Chordata; Mammalia; Primates; Cercopithecidae
Description: lncRNA (ENSPANG00000044528.1)
Source: RNAcentral